ACGGUACCGUAAGAAUAAGGACCGGCUAACUCCGUGCCAGCAGCCGCGGUAAUACGGAGGGUCCGAGCGUUAUCCGGAAUCAUUGGGUUUAAAGGGUCCGUAGGCGGGCCUGUAAGUCAGGGGUGAAAGUUUGUGGCUCAACCAUAAAAUUGCCUUUGAUACUGCAGGUCUUGAGUCAUGGUGGGGUUGCCGGAACAUGUGGUGUAGCGGUGAAAUGCAUAGAUAUCACAUAGAACACCGAUCGCGAAGGCAGGUGACCAACCAUGUACUGACGCUGAUGGACGAAAGCGUGGGUAGCGAACGGGAUUAGAUACCCCGGUAGUCCACGCCGUAAACGAUGGAUACUAGCUGUGGGGACUUCGGUCUCCGUGGCCAAGCGAAAGUGAUAAGUAUCCCACCUGGGGAGUACGUUCGCAAGAAUGAAACUCAAAGGAAUUGACGGGGGCCCGCACAAGCGGUGGAGCAUGUGGUUUAAUUCGAUGAUACGCGAGGAACCUUACCAGGGCUUAAAUGCAGGCUGCAUGGGGUAGAGAUACCCCUUUCUUCGGACCGCCUGCAAGGUGCUGCAUGGUUGUCGUCAGCUCGUGCCGUGAGGUGUCAGGUUAAGUCCUAUAACGAGCGCAACCCCUACCGUUAGUUGCCAGCAUGUCAAGAUGGGGACUCUAACGGGACUGCCGGUGCAAACCGUGAGGAAGGUGGGGACGACGUCAAAUCAUCACGGCCCUUACGUCCUGGGCUACACACGUGCUACAAUGGCCGGUACAGAGGGAAGCCACCCCGCAAGGGGGCGCGGAUCUACAAAACCGGUCACAGUUCGGAUCGGGGUCUGCAACUCGACCCCGUGAAGCUGGAAUCGCUAGUAAUCGGAUAUCAGCCAUGAUCCGGUGAAUACGUUCCCGGGCCUUGUACACACCGCCCGUCAAGCCAUGGAAGCCGGGAGUGCCUGAAGUCCGUCACCGAGAGGAGC
This 967-nucleotide ribosomal RNA is filed under the name Flagellimonas marinaquae. RNAcentral describes it as "bacterial SSU rRNA". It matches the Rfam family "Bacterial small subunit ribosomal RNA", at positions 472 to 1453 of the family's 1533-position model. The record is from RNAcentral. Lineage: Bacteria; Pseudomonadati; Bacteroidota; Flavobacteriia; Flavobacteriales; Flavobacteriaceae.